This 2013-nucleotide long non-coding RNA is filed under the name Mustela putorius furo (domestic ferret). RNAcentral's name for it is "lncRNA (ENSMPUG00000028414.1)". The record is from RNAcentral. Lineage: Eukaryota; Metazoa; Chordata; Mammalia; Carnivora; Mustelidae.
GGUAGGACCUGUACAUUUGCAUUUCUGACAAACUCCCCAGUGAUGCUGAUGCUGCUAUUCUGGGGGGCCACACUUGGAGAACCACUGGGUUAGAGGAUGGUUUGACAUGUCUCUACCCAAAAUGGGGAAACUUAUUCUGAGGCAAGAGUUCAGAAGACUUCUGAUCUUGGAGGAAGGGCCACCUGCAAGGAAAUAUGCAGAUAGUUAUAGUUGCUGAAAACCACAGGGUAGGCAUAGGAGGGACUGGAGAUAAUGACUUAUUUUUAUUUUUAUUUUUUUCCUGAGUACAUACAUAGAUUUGAAAGCUUGUUAUAAUCACUACUAUUGUUUCUCUUGUCAGAAGCAAAAUACAUUUGGCCUGGAAUGUUAGAAUUUUUGCUCCUCUGGAGUCAGACAUAAUUGGAUUGGAAUUUUAGCUCUGCCAUGCUCAUUGUGAUGCUGUAGCAGAUGAACUAGCUGGGGUGAACUAAGAGUGGGGGAGCAGCCAUUUGGCCUUAGGGCCUCUCCUGCAGAAGUAGCGUCUUUUUAAAACAUUUUUAGCGGUAGCGAGUUGGUGGUUGCUAAGACUGAUUGGGAAUUAGAGGCUGCAAUAAGGAAGCUGGUGGCAGGUGCCUCUAAGCAUGCGUGCCUCACCCCCAGCUCUCUCCCAGUGGAGGGGUGACUCUGGGCUUCAGAGCCCUGAGAAGAAGUCACUCAAUCCAGGAACACAGACAUCUUCACCAGCCCACCGUCAUGGCUGUAAAACCUCCAGAACUCAAGAACUCCUGAAAGUUACGUGGAGAAAGGUUGCGUGGACACUCAUUUUUCUUAAACACCUGUCUCCUCUGCCUAGCAAGGCACGUCACAGCCUUCUUGCUCUUAGGAACAUUGUGUGGCCCAGCAGCCCUACACCUGGGAUCCAUUUUAAACAGGGAACACCAAAAAAAGCACGACAGUAUGAAAAACGGAGCACUAAUAGACUCCAGAAAAAGAGUCAUUCAUAGCAUGAGAGUUGGAACAAGAUGGUGGAGUGUUGUUUUGUUCAACCUCACUUGGAACAUGUUUCUGAAGAGAAAUCAGUCACCACCCCGGGCAUGCCCACGAGUGGCUGCAAAGUGCCGUGAGCAUUGAUUCUGGUGUUACCAAUAAAUUCUAGUGAGUAGGCAAGUUCACAAAUACAGAGUCCACCAAUAAUGAGGAGGAACGGUAUAUGUAUAUAUUUGCUUCUCUAUUUCAUCAUAAGGCAUGUGUAAAUUUGUGUGGUUUCAGGGUGAACAGGUAGAUGGGCACACAGCCCUCUUGGAACUGGUGUGCAUCCUGCAGGAGACAGAGAGAAUAAACAAUUAUCUAAAUAAUUACCUAAUUACAACAGUGGGACCAGCUCUGGUGGAAGGGUACCAGAUGCUGCUAGAGCACUGUAACAAAGUACCCAACCUAGGCUGAGUGGGGAAGGAGGACUUCUCGGAGGAAAUGACAUUCCAGCAAGUGUUCAGAAGGAUGGAUAAAUCUUCAAGAAAACAUUAGUAGGUAUAAAAAGCUGUCCUAGGGAUUUUACUCGAAUUCAUGUCUUCCGAUACUUUGCUUUUCUCUUUUAGGUAGAGUUGGUGACAUUUAUGUCAGCGUAUAUUUUCUAAUGUAGGCAAGCAUUCCCCUUUACACCUGCAGCAAGAUUUUACCCCUAUGGGCUAUUACUUGGAAGCUACCCUCUCUUUAUUUGUUAGUUGGGAACUGGAGCUCGAAGAUGCUGACAAAAUAACCUAUCACACAGUGUGGGGUAGUAAAAUAUGGCUCUAGGAUGGAGAGACCCUUUCUCCUCUCCGUCUUCUGUUUUUUCUUCUCUUUUUGUCAUUUCCAUCCCGCCUCCCUCAUCGGCUCUUUGCUUCCUUUUUUCACACUGACUUUCCCUUUAAAGAUGAUUACUAGGAUUCUGAGAGAUGAAAGAAGCCCUCUGAUUCUUCCCAGUGGGUUAAGCUUCUCACUGGAAGUUGAAUAACCAGGUAGUAUAUUUAAGCUGUGAAAAUGCCUCUGGCUUCC